UCAAUCAUCAUUUCCGAGCUUUGGGUUUAUAUAAACAAGAAUUUCCUAACGCAACGCUGCAGUAUUCGCAACGAGCGAGGAAGUAUAUGUAGAAAGUUCGAGAAAAUAUUUUGCGAAAGGCGAAGAAGAGAAUUGAGAGAUAUGGCAAGAAUUGUCGUAAUUUUAACGUUGGUGUUGUUAAUCGCGUCCACAGGAAUGGCCUCCUGGUCUGGAGGCCAUUAUCGCUCGAGUAGGACCAAAAAUCGCUGUCGCCCCCCCGGCACGUAUUGCAAAAGAACGGAUCCGAAUGGAAAAACAACAAAUGAAAGAAAAUGCUGCAGUGGAAGAUCAUGUGCGUUUAGUUUUCAAUCGGUCGGGGGACACCAGUUUUAUAAGUGCAAAACAUAGUACAAAUGAACUAUUGCUUUGUCAAGAAAUUUACCGAGAUUAUUGUGUGUUGCAUUAUUUGUGUGUCUGUAAAUCACUAUAAAAGAAUGAUAAACAUGCCGUCUAUAAAUCAAGUAUUAAAAAUAUAUUGGAAACAGUUCUUCUGAAUG
Molecule: long non-coding RNA, 536 nt
Organism: Dendronephthya gigantea
Lineage: Eukaryota; Metazoa; Cnidaria; Anthozoa; Malacalcyonacea; Nephtheidae
Exons: 3
Source: RefSeq, a predicted model, not a curated record